UGAACGCUGGCGGCGUGCCUACUACAUGCAAGUCGAGCGAACAGACGCGGAGCUUGCUCCUCUGACGUUAGCGGCGGACGGGUGAGUAACACGUGGAUAACCUACCUAUAAGACUGGGAUAACUUCGGGAAACCGGAGCUAAUACCGGAUAAUAUAUUGAACCGCAUGGUUCAAUAGUGAAAGACGGUUUUGCUGUCACUUAUAGAUGGAUCCGCGCCGCAUUAGCUAGUUGGUAAGGUAACGGCUUACCAAGGCGACGAUGCGUAGCCGACCUGAGAGGGUGAUCGGCCACACUGGAACUGAGACACGGUCCAGACUCCUACGGGAGGCAGCAGUAGGGAAUCUUCCGCAAUGGGCGAAAGCCUGACGGAGCAACGCCGCGUGAGUGAUGAAGGUCUUCGGAUCGUAAAACUCUGUUAUUAGGGAAGAACAAAUGUGUAAGUAACUAUGCACGUCUUGACGGUACCUAAUCAGAAAGCCACGGCUAACUACGUG
This 495-nucleotide ribosomal RNA is filed under the name uncultured bacterium. RNAcentral's name for it is "partial 16S ribosomal RNA". It matches the Rfam family "Bacterial small subunit ribosomal RNA", at positions 30 to 507 of the family's 1533-position model. The record is from RNAcentral.